GCAAACUUGGUCAUUUAGAGGAAGUAAAAGUCGUAACAAGGUUUCCGUAGGUGAACCUGCGGAAGGAUCAUUACCGAAUUGUCGGCAGCAGCUGUUGCUGGUCCUCACAGAGGGGGCAUGUGCACGCUCUGUUUACACAUCCACUCACACCUGUGCACUCACUGUAGUCCUAUGGUCUGGGAGACCCCGUCUUCCUUCUGUCGGCCUGCUCUUUUAUAUACACACUGUAACAAAGUCUUAUGGAAUGUGGUUCUGCGUUUAACGCGAUACAGUACAACUUUCAGCAACGGAUCUCUUGGCUCUCGCAUCGAUGAAGAACGCAGC
This 324-nucleotide unclassified non-coding RNA is filed under the name uncultured fungus. Its description in RNAcentral is "partial contains small subunit ribosomal RNA, internal transcribed spacer 1, and 5.8S ribosomal RNA". The stretch from base 1 to 73 matches the Rfam family "Eukaryotic small subunit ribosomal RNA", at positions 1759 to 1831 of the family's 1831-position model. Lineage: Eukaryota; Fungi. The record is from RNAcentral.